Molecule: ribosomal RNA, 301 nt
Filed under: uncultured bacterium
Lineage: Bacteria
Description: partial 16S ribosomal RNA
Rfam family: Bacterial small subunit ribosomal RNA
Source: RNAcentral
CAGUCGCCGCGGUAAUACGAAGGGUGCAAGCGUUACUCGGAAUUACUGGGCGUAAAGCGUGCGUAGGUGGUGGUUUAAGUCCGUUGUGAAAGCCCUGGGCUCAACCUGGGAAUUGCAGUGGAUACUGGGUCACUAGAGUGUGGUAGAGGAUAGUGGAAUUUCCGGUGUAGCAGUGAAAUGCGUAGAGAUCGGAAGGAACAUCUGUGGCGAAGGCGACUAUCUGGGCCAACACUGACACUGAGGCACGAAAGCGUGGGGAGCAAACAGGAUUAGAUACCCCGGUAGUCCCUGUCUCUUAUAC